UUUAUUAAACACCCUUAAAUUCUCAGAAAUCCUUUUUUUUUUUCUUUGCAAAUUCAAGGACAUCGAGCUCUCUCCCUGCAUCUACAGUUGUACAAUUUAAAGUGAAUGCUUUCUGUCUCUUCAAAUAGUAGCAAAAGUUAAUAGAAAUAAAGUGGAUUCCAUCAGCAAGCUAAGAUAUAAAUCUUGAAUGACUGAGAACUUUGGGAACUGGUUGGAAUAAUGGAUUGAAUGUCAUCUGUGUAUGCAAAGUCGUCAGAAUCUGUCAAUCUUCAGGAAAGCUUUGAGUAUGGAAGAAUGGAGAACCAGUAGAGGCCUUUUGUCACAUUGCCUGAGCAUGGAGGAUUUCAUAGGCUGGGACAUUCAGGGUGGGCAGCUUUUGCAAUGGAAUUUGGAAGCAAUUUAUGUGAUGGAACUGGCAAGAUAAACACCUGAGAUGACAUGGAGACACUGGGGAGCUUUGAAGAGUAUCUCCUGACUACUGGAUUUAAACACUGAAAAAGAAAAGGGAGCUGGGACAUCUGAAG
RNAcentral lists this long non-coding RNA (524 nucleotides) under Lonchura striata (white-rumped munia). RNAcentral's name for it is "domestica (Bengalese finch) lncRNA (ENSLSDG00000008547.1)". Lineage: Eukaryota; Metazoa; Chordata; Aves; Passeriformes; Estrildidae. The record is from RNAcentral.